CCUACGGGGGGCAGCAGUGGGGAAUAUUGGACAAUGGGGGCAACCCUGAUCCAGCCAUGCCGCGUGUGUGAAGAAGGCCCUCGGGUUGUAAAGCACUUUCAGUGAGGAAGAACGCCUGGUGGUUAAUACCCAUCAGGAAAGACAUCACUCACAGAAGAAGCACCGGCUAACUCCGUGCCAGCAGCCGCGGUAAUACGGAGGGUGCGAGCGUUAAUCGGAAUUACUGGGCGUGAAGCGCGCGUAGGUGGCUUGAUAAGCCGGUUGUGAAAGCCCCGGGCUCAACCUGGGAACGGCAUCCGGAACUGUCAAGCUAGAGUGCAGGAGAGGAAGGUAGAAUUCCCGGUGUAGCGGUGAAAUGCGUAGAGAUCGGGAGGAAUACCAGUGGCGAAGGCGGCCUUCUGGACUGACACUGACACUGAGGUGCGAAAGCGUGGGUAGCAAACAGGAUUAGAUACCCCAGUAGUC
RNAcentral lists this ribosomal RNA (465 nucleotides) under Vreelandella stevensii. RNAcentral describes it as "partial 16S ribosomal RNA". It matches the Rfam family "Bacterial small subunit ribosomal RNA", at positions 338 to 795 of the family's 1533-position model. The record is from RNAcentral. Lineage: Bacteria; Pseudomonadati; Pseudomonadota; Gammaproteobacteria; Oceanospirillales; Halomonadaceae.